AUAUCAAUAAGCGGAGGAAAAGAAACUAACAAGGAUUCCCCUAGUAACUGCGAGUGAAGCGGGAAAAGCUCAAAUUUAAAAUCUGGCGGUUUCACCGUCCGAGUUGUAAUCUAGAGAAGUGUUUUCCGCGCUGGACCGUGUACAAGUCUCUUGGAAUAGAGCGUCAUAGAGGGUGAGAAUCCCGUCUUUGACACGGACUACCAGUGCUUUUGUGAUGCGCUCUCAACGAGUCGAGUUGUUUGGGAAUGCAGCUCAAAAUGGGUGGUAAAUUCCAUCUAAAGCUAAAUAUUGGGGAGAGACCGAUAGCGAACAAGUACCGUGAGGGAAAGAUGAAAAGAACUUUGGAAAGAGAGUUAAACAGUAC
This 364-nucleotide ribosomal RNA is filed under the name uncultured fungus. RNAcentral describes it as "eukaryotic LSU rRNA". It matches the Rfam family "Eukaryotic large subunit ribosomal RNA", at positions 40 to 398 of the family's 3401-position model. The record is from RNAcentral. Lineage: Eukaryota; Fungi.